UCGGGAAUUUUGGGCAAUGGGCGAAAGCCUGACCCAGCAACGCCGCGUGAAGGAUGAAGUAUUUCGGUAUGUAAACUUCGAAAGAAUAGGAAGAAUAAAUGACGGUACUAUUUAUAAGGUCCGGCUAACUACGUGCCAGCAGCCGCGGUAAUACGUAGGGACCAAGCGUUGUUCGGAUUUACUGGGCGUAAAGGGCGCGUAGGCGGCAUGACAAGUCACUUGUGAAAUCUCUGGGCUUAACCCAGAACGGCCAAGUGAUACUGUCGCGCUAGAGUGCAGAAGGGGCAAUCGGAAUUCUUGGUGUAGCGGUGAAAUGCGUAGAUAUCAAGAGGAACACCUGAGGUGAAGACGGGUUGCUGGGCUGACACUGACGCUGAGGCGCGAAAGCGUGGGGAGCAAACAGGAUUAGAUACCCACGUAGUCCCUGAGCGGGCUGGCAAGGCGCAU
RNAcentral lists this ribosomal RNA (447 nucleotides) under uncultured bacterium. RNAcentral's name for it is "bacterial SSU rRNA". It matches the Rfam family "Bacterial small subunit ribosomal RNA", at positions 355 to 825 of the family's 1533-position model. The record is from RNAcentral.